UUUUCCUACGGGGGGCAGCAGUAGGGAAUCUUCCACAAUGGGCGCAAGCCUGAUGGAGCAACGCCGCGUGAGUGAAGAAGUAUUUCGGUAUGUAAAGCUCUAUCAGCAGGGAAGAGAAUGACGGUACCUGAGUAAGAAGCCCCGGCUAACUACGUGCCAGCAGCCGCGGUAAUACGUAGGGGGCAAGCGUUAUCCGGAUUUACUGGGUGUAAAGGGAGCGUAGACGGCGAAGAAAGUCUGAAGUGAAAGCCCGCGGCUCAACCGCGGAACUGCUUUGGAAACUUUUUUGCUGGAGUACCGGAGAG
This 305-nucleotide ribosomal RNA is filed under the name uncultured bacterium. RNAcentral's name for it is "bacterial SSU rRNA". It matches the Rfam family "Bacterial small subunit ribosomal RNA", at positions 334 to 656 of the family's 1533-position model. The record is from RNAcentral.